This 292-nucleotide ribosomal RNA is filed under the name uncultured bacterium. RNAcentral describes it as "partial 16S ribosomal RNA". It matches the Rfam family "Bacterial small subunit ribosomal RNA", at positions 505 to 796 of the family's 1533-position model. The record is from RNAcentral.
GUGUCAGCAGCCGCGGUAAUACGGAGGGUGCGAGCGUUGCUCGGAAUCAUUGGGCGUAAAGCGUACGCAGGCGGUCUGUUUAGUCGGGUGUGAAAGCCCGGGGCUCAACCCCGGAAAUGCGCCCGAUACUGGCAGACUUGAGUGCGGGAGAGGGAAGCGGAAUUCCUGGUGUAGAGGUGAAAUUCGUAGAUAUCAGGAGGAACACCGGUGGCGAAAGCGGCUUCCUGGCCCGACACUGACGCUCAUGUACGAAAGCGUGGGGAGCAAACAGGAUUAGAAACCCUAGUAGUCC